GCCUGGCUGGCUCAGUCGUAGAGCAUGAGACUUUUGAUCUCAGGGCCCUAAGUUCAAGCCCCACUUUGGGCA
Molecule: transfer RNA, 72 nt
Filed under: Ailuropoda melanoleuca (giant panda)
Lineage: Eukaryota; Metazoa; Chordata; Mammalia; Carnivora; Ursidae
Rfam family: tRNA
About the family: Transfer RNA (tRNA) molecules are approximately 80 nucleotides in length.
Source: Rfam by way of RNAcentral